This 274-nucleotide ribosomal RNA is filed under the name uncultured bacterium. RNAcentral describes it as "partial 16S ribosomal RNA". It matches the Rfam family "Bacterial small subunit ribosomal RNA", at positions 523 to 796 of the family's 1533-position model. The record is from RNAcentral.
AUACGGAGGGUGCAAGCGUUAAUCGGAAUUACUGGGCGUAAAGCGUACGUAGGCGGUUCGUUAAGUUAGAUGUGAAAGCCCCGGGCUUAACCUGGGAACUGCAUUUAAAACUGGCGAACUAGAGUUGAGUAGAGGGGAGUGGAAUUUCAGGUGUAGCGGUGAAAUGCGUAGAGAUCUGAAGGAACACCAGUGGCGAAGGCGACUCCCUGGACUCGAACUGACGCUGAGGUACGAAAGCGUGGGUAGCAAACGGGAUUAGAUACCCGGGUAGUCC